RNAcentral lists this ribosomal RNA (471 nucleotides) under Salmonella enterica. Its description in RNAcentral is "bacterial SSU rRNA". It matches the Rfam family "Bacterial small subunit ribosomal RNA", at positions 1 to 468 of the family's 1533-position model. The record is from RNAcentral. Lineage: Bacteria; Pseudomonadati; Pseudomonadota; Gammaproteobacteria; Enterobacterales; Enterobacteriaceae.
AAAUUGAAGAGUUUGAUCAUGGCUCAGAUUGAACGCUGGCGGCAGGCCUAACACAUGCAAGUCGAACGGUAACAGGAAGCAGCUUGCUGCUUUGCUGACGAGUGGCGGACGGGUGAGUAAUGUCUGGGAAACUGCCUGAUGGAGGGGGAUAACUACUGGAAACAGUGGCUAAUACCGCAUAACGUCGCAAGACCAAAGAGGGGGACCUUCGGGCCUCUUGCCAUCAGAUGUGCCCAGAUGGGAUUAGCUUGUUGGUGAGGUAACGGCUCACCAAGGCGACGAUCCCUAGCUGGUCUGAGAGGAUGACCAGCCACACUGGAACUGAGACACGGUCCAGACUCCUACGGGAGGCAGCAGUGGGGAAUAUUGCACAAUGGGCGCAAGCCUGAUGCAGCCAUGCCGCGUGUAUGAAGAAGGCCUUCGGGUUGUAAAGUACUUUCAGCGGGGAGGAAGGUGUUGUGGUUAAUAACC